RNAcentral lists this ribosomal RNA (491 nucleotides) under uncultured bacterium. Its description in RNAcentral is "partial 16S ribosomal RNA". It matches the Rfam family "Bacterial small subunit ribosomal RNA", at positions 29 to 506 of the family's 1533-position model. The record is from RNAcentral.
AGUGAACGCUGGCGGUAGGCCUAACACAUGCAAGUCGAACGGCAGCACAGUAAGAGCUUGCUCUUACGGGUGGCGAGUGGCGGACGGGUGAGGAAUACAUCGGAAUCUACUUUUUCGUGGGGGAUAACGUAGGGAAACUUACGCUAAUACCGCAUACGACCUACGGGUGAAAGCAGGGGAUCUUCGGACCUUGCGCGAUUGAAUGAGCCGAUGUCGGAUUAGCUAGUUGGCGGGGUAAAGGCCCACCAAGGCGACGAUCCGUAGCUGGUCUGAGAGGAUGAUCAGCCACCAUGGAACUAAGACACGGUCCAAACCCCUAGGGGAGGCAGCAGGGGGGAAUAUUGGAAAAGGGGCGCAAGCCUGAUCCAGCCAUACCGGGGGGGUGAAGAAGGCCUUGGGGUUGUAAAGCCCUUUUGUUGGGAAAGAAAAACAGCAGGUUAAUACCCCGCUGUUCUGGCGGUACCAAAAGAAUAAGCACCGGCUAAUUUCGU